GGGGAUAUAGCUCGGUGGUAGAGCGUGUGCUUGGCAUGCACAAGGUCCUAGGUUAUUCCCCAGUACCUCCA
RNAcentral lists this transfer RNA (71 nucleotides) under Camelus bactrianus (Bactrian camel). It matches the Rfam family "tRNA". From Rfam's summary of the family: Transfer RNA (tRNA) molecules are approximately 80 nucleotides in length. The record is from Rfam by way of RNAcentral. RNAcentral also lists the same sequence under 1 other name. Lineage: Eukaryota; Metazoa; Chordata; Mammalia; Artiodactyla; Camelidae.